GCCUGGCUGGCUCAGUCAGAAGAGCAUGUGACUCUUAAUCUCGGGGUUGUGAGUUCAAUCCCCAUGUUGGAUG
Molecule: transfer RNA, 73 nt
Filed under: Ailuropoda melanoleuca (giant panda)
Lineage: Eukaryota; Metazoa; Chordata; Mammalia; Carnivora; Ursidae
Rfam family: tRNA
About the family: Transfer RNA (tRNA) molecules are approximately 80 nucleotides in length.
Source: Rfam by way of RNAcentral